GAGUGAAACCAGUGAAAAAUAAGUUAUGACAAAACACUGAGAUAGUUAUGAGGAGUACACGAUGUAGUAGACCUCCUGUAGUAGACUAGUACUGUAGUAGACUGUAGACAGUGUGGUGGACUGUAGAGGAAAUGAGAAUCCUAUGAUCACAUGUGUUUUCUUACAGAAGCAGAAGCCAGUACAGUCAGUGAAUGGUUACUACCAGCUGACUGGUGUAGUCUCUCAUUUGGGAGGCUCCGCAAACUCCGGGCACUACAUUAGUGACAUAUUGCAUGCCAGUGGGAACUGGUUCUGCUGUAACGACAGCCAGGUAUCAAUGUCCAAUGAAGCCACUGUGCUGAGGACCAGAGCCCGGAGUGCCUACAUGCUCUUCUAUAUGUUCAGGUUCUGCUUACUCUCGCCAUCUAUAUUCUUGUGUUGCUAUUUAUGUGUACGGUUCCUUUCACCCUACAGGGCAAUAGAGCGGGAGGCCCCAGCACACAGGGCCUAACAGGGCCACCAGCAUCAGCCCCAGCCUAAACAGGGGCAGCACCUGGACCAGCCUCCAAACACUCAGACCUGUCUCAACAGGGAUAGUAGCAGGCCCAGUCUCAAAACCCCCAGCCCAGCCUCAACAGGGGUAGUACCAGGCCCAGUCUCAAACCCCCAGCCCAGCCUCAACAGGGGUAGUACCAGGCCCAGUCUCAAAACCCCCAUCCCAGCCUCAACACUCACACACCUGCCUCAAAAGGGGUAGCAUUUGGCCCAACAUCAACACACCCAGCCCAGCCUCAACAUGGGAAGAACCAGGUCCAGCCUCAACAUGGGCAGAACAAGACCCAGCCCCAACACCCUCAGACCUGCCUCAACAGGAAGAUUUAUCGUCUGGGAUUCAGGCCGGUCCUAACAGGAAACGUGACAAAGGGAAGCAGCUGUAAUGGAGCCUUCUAACACCCAAUCAGGUCUGGAGGAGGAAUGUCACAUAAAGAUUCAGAGAUGCUAUGAGUAUCUUUUGAAGUUACACCCCAGUUGUAUUCCAUUUGAAUAAAUACAGACAUGAAAAUGCUGGGCUAUGGAUGUGACCUUAGUUCUGUGAGUAGAAUAACGGGUCACCAAACAACCUAUGGGAACUCCUUCCCUUUCACGUGAUAUGAUUGAGAUGCUUAAUAUCAACGAUGUUUACAAUGACGCCACACCCUUACUGUACCAU
Molecule: RNA transcript, 1189 nt
Organism: Oncorhynchus tshawytscha (Chinook salmon)
Lineage: Eukaryota; Metazoa; Chordata; Actinopteri; Salmoniformes; Salmonidae
Gene name: ubiquitin carboxyl-terminal hydrolase 8-like
Exons: 3
Source: RefSeq, a predicted model, not a curated record